This 707-nucleotide ribosomal RNA is filed under the name uncultured Bacillus sp. RNAcentral's name for it is "bacterial SSU rRNA". It matches the Rfam family "Bacterial small subunit ribosomal RNA", at positions 410 to 1133 of the family's 1533-position model. The record is from RNAcentral. Lineage: Bacteria; Bacillati; Bacillota; Bacilli; Caryophanales; Bacillaceae.
GACGGCCUUAGGGUUGUAAAGCUCUUUCGUCCGGGACGAUAAUGACGGUACCUGAGAAGAAAGCCCCGGCUAACUACGUGCCAGCAGCCGCGGUAAUACGGGGGGGGCAAGCGUUGUUCGGAAUUACUGGGCGUAAAGGGCUCGUAGGCGGCCAACUAAGUCGGAUGUGAAAUCCCCAGGCUUAACCUGGGAACUGCAUCCGAUACUGGAUGGCUUGAAUUCGGGAGAGGGAUGCAGAAUUCCAGGUGUAGCGGUGAAAUGCGUAGAUAUCUGGAGGAAUACCGGUGGCGAAGGCGGCAUCCUGGACCGGCAUUGACGCUGAGGAGCGAAAGCCAGGGGAGCAAACGGGAUUAGAUACCCCGGUAGUCCUGGCCCUAAACGAUGAAUGCUUGGUGUAACGGGUAUCGAUCCCUGUUGUGCCGAAGCUAACGCAUUAAGCACUCCGCCUGGGGAGUACGGUCGCAAGACUGAAACUCAAAGGAAUUGACGGGGGCCCGCACAAGCGGCGGAGCAUGUGGUUUAAUUCGAAGCAACGCGAAGAACCUUACCAGGUCUUGACAUCCUCUGACAACCCUAGAGAUAGGGAGUUCCCCUUCGGGGGACAGAGUGACAGGUGGUGCAUGGUUGUCGUCAGCUCGUGUCGUGAGAUGUUGGGUUAAGUCCCGCAACGAGCGCAACCCUUGAUCUUAGUUGCCAGCAUUCAGUUG